GGGGACUGUCUGAAGCCAAAAAAUCUUUUGAAACUCUUGCAGGAGUCAAAGGCUGUGGCAUAGGAACUUUUUAUCCAAGCUCAGGAGAGGUAUGGUGCUUCUUUUCUAAAAGAUACAUUAAAAGUUUGCCUGUUUUCAUUGGGUUUGUAUGUGCAUUUUAAAUAAGAAGCAGUGUUGCUAUUAGUGGCCUUGUAAACUAAAUACGUAAGUUGAUAUUUAAAAGACAGUCAGACUGCUUGCUGACAGUAAUGACUAGUUGCACACCUGGAACCGUGGCAUGCUGAAGAACUAAGCCAGCUUUUGGCUCCAGGAGCCUGCUGCACAAUGACAUUUAGUGUGCCUGACUCCAGCAGUACAGUUCAAUGAUUGACUUAUCAAAAGUUGAGAAAUGAAUUGGCAGCUGAGAGGAAACCAUUCAAUGGAUGAGUGAAGUGAGAUUAUCACAUAUGGUUCUAAAAAUAUGAAAAGGGAUAUUUUGAACAGAAACCAUUAAUUGAAUUCAGCAACUAGAGUUAACUUACUGGGUCAAAUGAAAAAAAAAUAUAAUCAGUAAAGGUACUGAACGCAUAAGGAAAAAGAUAUUUUUACAUUAAUUUGGAAAUGUUGAUUUUUAUGUUGCAUUGGGCAAAAUGUCUGUGAAAUUUCAAGUAAAAAUAUAUUGUAAAUUGUCAUUUCCUCAUGCAAGGAAUACUAAAUUCUGACCCUGAAGAUAUGGUAACCUGUAUCUUAGUCACUUUUUCCUGGUUAAUAAAGGCAAAAAAAAUGUCGACACCAUUGAGAAUAAAAAUGAAAAAAACAUUUUUGUUUGUCUGUUUAGCUCCAAGGAGGUUAAGCUGUCCUUACUUAGCUUUCCUUGCACGUGUCCCCAUGGCUGCAUCUUUUCCAUGCUAGAAGCUUGCUUCUGUUGGAGGGAUUGGGAACACGAGGUUCCUGUGCCACCAGUGAAAGUAAACACAAAGGUUCAAUUGCUUGAGUGUGUGGAAGCCCUGUUUCUGACAGUGCUUAGAGACCUCCAUGUUUGCUUGGAUGCUGCCUACUAGUAUGUCCAGAUGUUUGUAUUUACUGUGUGUUUUUCUCACUUUACAGUGAUUUUUUCUUCAGGGAAGUUCUUAGUUAGCGAGUACUUCAAGUUGCAGUAGUUUUUUGUCAAAUUUGGCUCAACAUAGCAGCAAGACAUAGCUCAAGUAUGUUGCCUUCUUCUGGAAGACAUGCUCCUUCCUAAAUUCAUCAAUCUCAGAUGAGUUUGGCUUGAUUAGUUCAGCUACUCAGUAAAGGAGUGGAAAGGGCAGCAUAUACAGCGGCAACACAGAAGGUAAUGCCUCCUAUUUUAUUAUGUUGGCCCACGAUGUCAAGAGGUAGAUGGUGGUGUGGCAGUAGAGGUUGAACCUUCCCACCAACAUUCCAUUACAUUUUAUUGUUGUGCAACAGAUGGCAGCAGAGGGGCAGUCUGACAGAAUGGCGUCUGACAUGGAAGCACAGAUGAAGCAAAGGGGUGGAAUUGAAAUUCCUCCUUGCAGAGAAAAAAUGGCACCCAUGGACAUUCACUGAUGUUUGCUGAGUGUUGGUGGAGACCAAC
RNAcentral lists this long non-coding RNA (1576 nucleotides) under Gallus gallus (chicken). Lineage: Eukaryota; Metazoa; Chordata; Aves; Galliformes; Phasianidae. The record is from RNAcentral.